CCUACGGGUGGCUGCAGUCGAGGAUCAUUCGCAAUGAGCGAAAGCUUGACGAUGCGACGCUGUGUGAGCGAUGAAGGCCUUCGGGUUGUAAAGCUCUUUCGCUUGGGAACAAGAGAGAUUAGUGAACAACUAGUCAAUUUGAGUGUACCAGGUAAAGAAGCACCGGCUAACUCCGUGCCAGCAGCUGCGGUAAUACGGAGGGUGCAAGCAUUAAUCGGAAUUAUUGGGCGUAAAGGGCGCGUAGGCGGAUCAUCAAGUCAGAUGUGAAAUACCAAAGCUCAACUUUGGUGCUGCAUUUGAAACUGAUGAACUAGAGGGCUGACGGAGAAAAUGGAAUUCCACGUGUAGCGGUGAAAUGCGUAGAUAUGUGGAAGAACACCUGUGGCGAAAGCGAUUUUCUAGUUAGCACCUGACGCUGAGGCGCGAGAGCAAGGGGAGCAAACAGGAUUAGAUACCCUUGUAGUC
Molecule: ribosomal RNA, 465 nt
Filed under: uncultured Rhabdochlamydiaceae bacterium
Lineage: Bacteria; Pseudomonadati; Chlamydiota; Chlamydiia; Parachlamydiales; Candidatus Rhabdochlamydiaceae
Description: bacterial SSU rRNA
Rfam family: Bacterial small subunit ribosomal RNA
Source: RNAcentral